UUCAUAAGCUCCCACACGUAACUGCUUGAUUCACUGGUUAGACGAUUGGGUCUGUAGCUCAGUUGGUUAGAGCGCACCCCUGAUAAGGGUGAGGUCGGCAGUUCGAAUCUGCCCAGACCCACCAAUUGUUGGUGUGCUGCGUGAUCCGAUACGGGGCCAUAGCUCAGCUGGGAGAGCGCCUGCUUUGCACGCAGGAGGUCAGGAGUUCGAUCCUCCUUGGCUCCACCAUCUAAACAAUCGUCGAAAGCUCAGAAAUGAAUGUUCGUGAAUGAACAUUGAUUUCUGGUCUUUGCACCAGAACUGUUCUUUUUUUUUUAUUCCCCGGGUUUUUUAUAUAAAAUUAGGACACGGAAUUGAUAUUCCUCUUCCCCCGUGGUGUGAUACUCCUUUCCCAGGGUUUCCAGAGGUUUAAUAUUAUUUGGCCNAAAUUUUCUACAAGGCCCCCCAAAAUUUUUUUCGCGGCGCCNAAAUGUGUGUCCUUCUCCUCCCCACGGUUUAUUAUUACACCCCGAAAUUUGGCCCUUGUGGGGGGGUUUAAUAUUUAUUUGUGGGUCAUAAACCUNNNCAAAA
RNAcentral lists this transfer RNA (570 nucleotides) under Pseudomonas fluorescens. Its description in RNAcentral is "partial contains 16S ribosomal RNA and 16S-23S ribosomal RNA intergenic spacer". The stretch from base 48 to 121 matches the Rfam family "tRNA". Lineage: Bacteria; Pseudomonadati; Pseudomonadota; Gammaproteobacteria; Pseudomonadales; Pseudomonadaceae. The record is from RNAcentral.